GCCGGCAUAGCUCAGUGGUAGAGCAGCUGAUUCGUAAUCAGCAGGCCGGGGGUUCGAAUCCCCCUGCCGGCUUCA
This 75-nucleotide transfer RNA is filed under the name Desulfobacca acetoxidans. RNAcentral's name for it is "tRNA-Thr". It matches the Rfam family "tRNA". Rfam says of the family: Transfer RNA (tRNA) molecules are approximately 80 nucleotides in length. The record is from RNAcentral. Lineage: Bacteria; Pseudomonadati; Thermodesulfobacteriota; Desulfobaccia; Desulfobaccales; Desulfobaccaceae.